Molecule: ribosomal RNA, 467 nt
Filed under: uncultured bacterium
Lineage: Bacteria
Description: partial 16S ribosomal RNA
Rfam family: Bacterial small subunit ribosomal RNA
Source: RNAcentral
GACGAACGCUGGCGGCGUGCUUAACACAUGCAAGUCGAACGGAAAGGCCCUGCUUUUGUGGGGUGCUCGAGUGGCGAACGGGUGAGUAACACGUGAGUAACCUGCCCUUGACUUUGGGAUAACUUCAGGAAACUGGGGCUAAUACCGGAUAGGAGCUCCUGCUGCAUGGUGGGGGUUGGAAAGUUUCGGCGGUUGGGGAUGGACUCGCGGCUUAUCAGCUUGUUGGUGGGGUAGUGGCUUACCAAGGCUUUGACGGGUAGCCGGCCUGAGAGGGUGACCGGCCAAAUGGGGAUGGGGUUCCGCCCAGGAUUCCUCCGGAGGCAACAGGUGGGAAUAAUGGACAAGUGGCCGAAGGCCGGAUCAAGCAACCCCGGGUGGGGAAUGAGGCCUUUGGGGUUGAAACCCGCUUUCCCUUGUGACGAGUGGUAGGUAAGGGAAAGGGGAAAAAAAGCACCGGCUACUUCGGU